GUUCCUUCUUUUCCAUAAAUUUUUAAUUUUAAAUAAUAUAAUUGGAAUUAUGUUCAUGUUGUAGGUAUAAAUUUAUGAUCAUUAGAGGCAGCUUCCCAGAGGGAGGAUGAUGGUGUCAAGAGAAUGAUUCAUGUUUCUUAUGACACAUUUCCUCCAUCUGUUUUCUCCCUUUUGCAAUUUGGGAAAUCUGAAGCAAAUUGAACUUUUGCAGAUUUUGGAAGGAUAUUGAUUUUUUUCCCUUUUGAUGAUAAUUCUAGUUACAAAUGUGAUUGAAAGUUUAGCCGGAAUGGAUUCUCUGAAAUAGGAAAGAGUAUAUAAUCUUGUUUGUCUGUUGAUAUCAGAGUUGAGAAAUAGAUUUCCCUCUGCAAUUGAAGAUUUUUUAUGGUU
Neltuma alba is the source of this 387-nucleotide long non-coding RNA. RefSeq lists it as uncharacterized. The transcript has 2 exons. NCBI's taxonomy places the organism in Eukaryota, Viridiplantae, Streptophyta, Magnoliopsida, Fabales, Fabaceae. The record is from RefSeq and is a predicted model, not a curated record.